RNAcentral lists this ribosomal RNA (699 nucleotides) under gamma proteobacterium PM37. Its description in RNAcentral is "bacterial SSU rRNA". It matches the Rfam family "Bacterial small subunit ribosomal RNA", at positions 99 to 794 of the family's 1533-position model. The record is from RNAcentral. Lineage: Bacteria; Pseudomonadati; Pseudomonadota; Gammaproteobacteria.
CGGACGGGUGAGUAAUGCUUGGGAAUAUGCCAAUGGGUGGGGGACAACAGUUGGAAACGACUGCUAAUACCGCAUAAUGUCUUCGGACCAAAGGAGGGGCUCUUCGGACCUUUCGCCUAUUGAUUAGCCCAAGUGGGAUUAGCUAGUUGGUAAGGUAAUGGCUUACCAAGGCAUCGAUCCCUAGCUGGUCUUAGAGGAUGACCAGCCACACUGGAACUGAGACACGGUCCAGACUCCUACGGGAGGCAGCAGUGGGGAAUAUUGCACAAUGGGGGAAACCCUGAUGCAGCCAUGCCGCGUGUGUGAAGAAGGCUUUCGGGUUGUAAAGCACUUUCAGUUGUGAGGAAAGGGUGUUACUUAAUACGUAACAUCUGUGACGUUAACAACAGAAGAAGCACCGGCUAACUCCGUGCCAGCAGCCGCGGUAAUACGGAGGGUGCGAGCGUUAAUCGGAAUUACUGGGCGUAAAGCGCGCGUAGGUGGUUAAUUAAGUCAGAUGUGAAAGCCCAGGGCUCAACCUUGGAACUGCAUUUGAUACUGGUUAACUAGAGUUUUGUAGAGGGUGGUAGAAUUUCAGGUGUAGCGGUGAAAUGCGUAGAGAUCUGAAGGAAUACCAGUGGCGAAGGCGGCCACCUGGACAGUAACUGACACUGAGGCGCGAAGGCGUGGGGAGCAAACGGGAUUAGAUACCCCGGUAGU